Phyllopteryx taeniolatus (common seadragon) is the source of this 1212-nucleotide long non-coding RNA. RefSeq lists it as uncharacterized. The record is from RefSeq and is a predicted model, not a curated record. Lineage: Eukaryota; Metazoa; Chordata; Actinopteri; Syngnathiformes; Syngnathidae. The transcript is spliced from 2 exons.
AGACUGCCGAAGUCCUCCUGUUCUUUUCGCUGUCGCUGUCGUCUUUCCACCCGUGCGGCCGCCUCAGCGUGCUCGGUCUGGCCUUCCGCCGGAUUAGCAAGACAAGCAAACUACCGUGGCCGACGAGACGACGGCGUGCAGCGCCCGACUGCGAGGGGACGUCGUACCCACGCCUGCAGCCGUCGACCUCGCCGGUGCUGCUGCACUUCCGAGAGCCACAGCUGGUGCUCAACCCCAAGGUCACGCCCACUUCGCUACAGCCAAUUACGCACGCGUGUGCAUGUGCAACGUUAGCAUAGCCAAGGUGUGGGGUUAAAGUUCCCAAAUGCUCUCUCUCACCUCCUCCUGGCAGCCACGUGAAGUGUGCUGUGUCGCUGUGGCAACAGAGUAAAUACAGAGAGGAGCCACGGCGUCAUCGUGAUGGCGACCGCACGAUAUCCUCACGUGUCAAUGAUGGCAUUUGUGAAACCAGCAAAAACGUAAAGCACACUUCAAAUUUGAAGAUCCCGUAAGAUGAGCUCUCACUCUGGCACAUUCUUCACAAACAGAAGAGCCGCUAAGUGUGUGCGUGUAUUUGUAAAAACGCACACAAACGCGCGCGCGCCCAGGACGAAGUUGACAGGUGGGCUGGUCCACUCAGCCAAUGACUCUCAAUAACAAUGAGUCAUUUCCUUAAUGAUGACGUCACUCUCACACACAAUUACAAUUAGCCGCCCGGGGGCAUCUUCUCGUCUGUAAUCACGUGACAACCACGUUGGCACACGCACGCACGCACACAAAAGGUCAGCUGAAAAGACAUUUCUAUCCUGCCUGUGACAAAAUGUGUGUCUGUGCAUCUUUAUGUACGGCUGUGUAUGUUUGUCAUCACACGUUGAUCAAAACAUUGCUUGUUUUCCCCUGACAACCAAGUCUUGCUUUGUCAGUCAAAACCCAAUCUCACUGCACAAUCGUCGUCGUCGUCGUCAUGCCGGUGACGGUGCGCUGUGAUAGGUCGGCAGUCCUGCUACGUGCCGCCGUGCAAGCGCGACAACCAGAAGAACCGUGACAGCGUCCUCUGGCGGCAGGAGUACUUCAGCCGCCAGCUGGCCGGCCAGAGCUGAGCCAGGAGCUGAGCCAGGAGCUGAGCAGGCGGGCGGGCGGGCGACCGCAAGGGGGCGACAACGAGUCUUGCUCUCGCGCACACAGACGCAGACACAAAAACACGCACAAUGG